CUCUCUCUCUCUCUCUCUCUCUCUCUCUCUCUCUCUCUCUCUCUCUCUCUCUCUCUCUCUCUCUCUCUCUCUCUCUCUCUCUCUCUCUCUCUCUCUCUCUCUCUCUCUCUCUCUCUCUCUCUCUGUUUCUCUCUCUCUCUCUCUGACAAGCCCGCCCACUUCCGGUGGUUCUUCAACGAGAGUGGGAAACUGGAUUUCUUGUCCUGCUGAUGAUUGAUUUUCGACUAAAGCUGGGUUCAGUCUGAAGGAAGAAGAGUACGUGUUACCAAAAGUGAUUCAACAAUGGUUGAGUAAAGGCCAUCGUCACCACAGCUGAUCUGAGCUAACUUUACUCUGCUGUUUGACAUGUCCUGCAAAGAGAGGGCAACACGGCCUGCAGUAAAGAGUCUCCAUGACAGGAUCACUGGACUUCCCUAUCUGGAAACCCCACAUUGCGUGCAUGCAGCUCCACUACAUCUACUGCUCAUAACGUGGCGCGGUGGUGAUGUGAUCAGCAGCAGUGCAACUGCCAGGAUUCCCAUGAGUCCUUUGGAGAGCAUGUGACAGCUGAGAUAAAGCAGCUAAACAAACAGAGACAGUAAAGGAAGCAGUUUCUGCAUCACUGGGUCUCUGGCUUGCUCUACAGCUCUCUCUCUCUCUCUCUCUCUCUUUGUCUGACUCUCUCACCGUCUUGUGUGUCUUGAUCGUCUCACUGAUAGGAAGUGAACACUAACUGGUUUGAGGAGAGGAUGAGGGGGUGUGAAGAUGUAUAGUUAUUACCGUCAGCAGCUGCUGACUCAUCGGUCUGAGAAAGCAACAGUCACCCUUCAGAUCUGGCUGGCAGCCUAUCAAUCAAUCUGUAGGACUGAUGAAGCUUCAACAUGGUGCUGUGUGGGGAUUGACUUGGGUGGUUGUGUAUGUGUGUGGCCUUUAUAGAUGUUGCCAGCCUACUGUAUAUCCUGUUUAUGUGGAUCCACCAAUAUUUUACGGUGUCCUUCUGUUAAAGUGGCGCCAUGAUAAUAAACCGUUGACGUCAUUUCCAUUUAAAGUGCUACAACAGUUCUGAUUUGUACUGUUCAGCUAUUGUUAAACCAUUUAAGUAAUUGUAAAUAAUUCACAUUCAAGUCAAUAAAUACACCGACAGAU
Etheostoma spectabile (orangethroat darter) is the source of this 1125-nucleotide long non-coding RNA. RefSeq lists it as uncharacterized. The transcript has 3 exons. The record is from RefSeq and is a predicted model, not a curated record. NCBI's taxonomy places the organism in Eukaryota, Metazoa, Chordata, Actinopteri, Perciformes, Percidae.